AUUCAAAAUAUAAAGCAGAAGGGCACAUCCGCUGAAAAUUAAGAAAAGAAUUAAGCGGAAGAAAAGAAAAUAACAAUGAUUCCUGUAGUAACCGUGAGUGAAAAAGGAUAAGCUCAAAGUGGAAAAUCUUUUAUAUAUAAAGGCUGGGCCCCCCACGUGUCCCACUAAUGUAUAUAUACACAUAUGGUGCGGGGCUGGGUGUAGUGUUUUGGCUUUACAAAAGAAUUGUCACUUUUAUAUAAUGAAAGAUGAUUUAUAUAUACAUAUAUAUUUAAUUAUAUAUAUAAAUAUAUACUUGGUAAUAUCAUUAAACUUCCUAAAGAAUUUUUAAAAGUACAUAUAUACAUAUAUAUUAUUAUAUAACGAAAUAUGCAGGAGCGCACUUCCAUAGAGGGUGAAAGACCCGUAGUUUAUAAAUAUAUAAAUAUAUAACAAAGAGGGGGAAGAAGAACGGUUGAAGUUGAAUUGAUUUUCCUUAUCGCCUUUUCUUAUCUCUUUAUUUCUUUUUGGAAAUCUUUCAUUUUCGAGUCGUGUUCGAUGAGAUUGGGACACUAAUACGUGUGAUUAAACAAUUUCACAUAAAGCUAAAUAUAUAUAGGAGACCGAUAGCAAACAAGUACCGUAAGGGAAAGAUGAAAGAGUACUCAGGAAUGAGGUAUUAAAUAGAAUCUGAAAUCGUUAAGGUGGAAAGGAUUAAAGAAGACAAGAAGUAACGUGUGUUAAUUUUUUGUAUUUCUUUUGAAGGUCAUAUUUUGCUGGUGGAGAUGAUGUCCAAGAACAUUGGCGAGAUUGAUUUAUCGCCCAGAAUUGUGUGAGCGUGGAAGUACCUGAUGUAAUCUUCUCCUCCCAAUUUUGCGAGCGUGUAAAUCCAGAUCAAAUAUCUGGCUCAUGAUAUUGGCAUAUGAUUUUCAUCGCUAUACAGUUGACGUGCUUUAUUUAAAGAAACAUCAGCGAAAAAAAAAAAAAAAAAAAAAAGGAAUUUUUUUUUUUUUUUUAGGAAUGUAAAAGAAUAGAAGGAAAAUAAAAUAUAAUAAACGAUCUCGCAAGAGGGAGGAAUUUAUUUAUUUUUACCUAUUUUUACACAUAUCCGUUUUUUGCUGAGGGAGAUUUUAAAAAUUGUAGGAAAAAAAAAAAAAAAAAAAAAAAAAGGAUAAAGUUUUGAGAACUCGAAAUUUAUAUUUUUUUUUUUUUUUUUUUUUUUUUUAUUUUCUUACCUUUUAAGAUGUUUCUAAAAAGUCUUCUUUAACCGUCUCGUUUUGAAACACGAACCAAGGAGUCUAACACAUGUGCAAGCGAACGUGUAAUGUUGAAAGAUAAACAUAUGUCCCAAAAGAUGGGUGAGGUGAUACGGUACUUUACAUAUGGGUAUUCGUAUAUAUGUUAAAUAUACGUAAUAUUUGUGUGUGUUUAAGGCCGUAGAAUGAUCCAAUAUCCCGACUUAGUUUCGCGUCGGCAAUGAGCAUGAAAAAAAAAAAAAAAGCCAUUGUUUUUCAUAUUGUAGAAAUUGGAAUAUAUUUUGUGUGUGUAUAUGUAUGGUGUGUUGUAUAUCAUCGUGUUUUUUUUUUUUUUUUUUUUUUAAAAAAAAGAAGGGAAAAAAUGCUUUGAUAUAUAACAUAUUAUAUAUAUACAUACAUGUGAUUAAAUGCCAAAAUGCAUACAACUUUUUUUAGUCGGUUUUUAUAUAAUAAUAAAAAUGCCGUACAAUUUUUUUCUAGAUGAGCACAUGUGGUAGGACCCGAGAGGCUUUGAACUAUAUUAAACGUGAUGAAUUUUGAAAAGCACAAUAAAUUUUAUAAAUAAAAAAUUGGAGGAUAAAAUUUAUUUGUGUGUUUUUAUACAUUUCAAAAAGUUCAGCAUUAAACACGUUUUAUAGGAAGGAUAUAUAUAUAUACCUUUUUCUGAAAAGCUUAUUAGCUGGUUAUUUUCGAAAGAUCUCUCAAGAUCGCUGGAGUUUAUUAUUAUAAUUUUAUCAGAUAUUUGGAAGACAAUGAAUAUAUAUGGAAGAAUAAGGUAGUUUAACAUAUAUAUAUAUAUGUACCUAUAUUUUCAAAGUCUUACUUUUCUAGGUAAUCAUAUAAGAGUUAAAAAAAAAUAUAUCUUAAUAGUAUAUUUUUUUUUUAAUUAUUACUCAAAAAAUGUAUGAAUAGAAUAAGAUAACUCCAAGUGUGCCAUUUUUGGUAAUCAAAAACUGGUGAUGAGGGAUGCUCCUAAUGCUUGGAUAAGGUGCCUAAAUAUUCGCUCAUUAGACUCCUAAAAUAAUAGGUGUUACUUCAUUAUGACAGUAGGACGGUAAUCAUUGAAGUCGAAAUCCGCUAAGGAGUGUGUAACAACUCACCUACCGAAUGAUCUAGCCCUGAAAAUGGAUGGCGCUAAAGUGAAUUACCGAUACCAAGCCAUAAAAAGUGAAAUGGCUUUUGAACAAAGUCGAUCUAACGUUAUUUUUUUUUUUAACAACUUUUUAUGAGUAGAAAAUCGUGGGGUUUAGUAUAGAAGCGAAAUGCGUGAGCAUUCGUGGAACAUAUCCCUAGUGCAGAUCUUGGUGGAAGUAGCAAAUAUUCAAAAUGAAAUAUUUUUGAAGGCCUAUUAUAAAAAAAAAUACAAUAUAGAAACUACUGUAUUGUAUAAAAGAUAUACUUUUUUUUUUAAAUAAAUAUGUGUGUUAUUUAGCUUACAGCCAUAUAUUUUUUUCUCCAUAUGGAAACUAACUAAAUGAUAGCCGCUCCCCUGAAAUCACUCUUUUUUUUUUUUUUUUUUUAACAUUUCCAAAAGAAAAAAAAAAAAAAAAAAAAAAAUUAUGUGCGAUGUAAAAAAAUUUGUGAAGAAAAAAAUAAAUGUUGUUCCCAUAAGUUAACGUGUAAUUAUUUAGCAUAAUUUUAUACCAUUUUGGCCAUAGAUAUUAUUUUUUUUUUUUAUAAAUUAUUAGUUUUAUGGGGGUAAUCAGGUUUAUAAACCCUGAGCCGAUAAUUUUUCGAGUAUUAUUAUUGUAAAUAAUGUAGCUGGCAACGGAGUUUUGUAUAUAAAGAAAUACAAAAUUUUGAAACCCUAUUGAAGAUAAUUCGAUCCCAACGAUGUAUCAUGAUAAGAUGGAGAAUAUAUAUGUAUGUAUUAAUUUAUGAUAUAUAUUAUAAUAUACCCAUAUUAUCAUGUAUUACAAAAAAAUAAAAUAAUGAAGUGGAAACCUCGGAGUAUGUGUGUAAUACAAUAUUUUUGUAUUACACAGUAAUCUUAUGAAGAUGAGAAAAGUAUGACUAUAAUACGUUUUUUGCUUUGUUCAUGAGUUUAAAAUGGGAUAGCAGCCAGAAAAAAAAAAAAAAAAAAAAAAAAACGUAAAAAUGGGAUAAAUAAUGAAUAAAAAAAAAAAAAAAAAAAGCUGUACAUGUGUGUGAGGAAUAAAAAAUAGGAAAAUUGAUAUAUAGCUGUAGAAAUUUCGAUUUUUAUGGUUAUAAUAUAUUUUCUUAUUUUUAUAUCGCAUUCACAUAUACAGCUUUUUUUUUUUUUUAUUCAUUUUUUAUUCCAUUUUUAUGCUAUUUUUUUUUUUUUUCUUUUUUUUUUUUGGCUAGUAUUCCACUUUAUUGCUCAUUAUUUUUUAUAGUUCGUAUUACAAACACACUUAUAUGAGUGUGACGAAUUAUUCGAUGCGGAUGAGUUAUUGUAUAUUAUAUGAUAGGAUGGAAAACACCGAAUCGUGUUAUGAAGCCAAUCCGUUUGGGGUUUCCUAGGCGGCUUAUAUAUCUUCGGAUGUGUACCGUUUGUAGACGUAUUUCAUUCGGGUGAGCCAUACCACGCUUUAUAAUUCGUAUACUUGAUUAAUUAUGUAAAAGUUGUAUCUGUAAGCAGAAAGAUAUCUGAACUGGUUAGUAGCCGUAGGUCGUAAAUUAAUAGAUAUAAAGUAAUGAAUAAAGUGGGGACACACACAAAAAGGAGCAUUAUAUUAGUAUAAAAAAUGUAUAUAUAUGUGAAUACAUAUAUAAUGUAUAUGUUGCAGACUAUUUUGAAGACAAUUUGAAUGGAAUGUAUAUAUACACAUGUAUUAUAUAUGUAUGUACAUAUGUAUAUAUUUUAUAUCAUGUAUAUAUGUAUCCAUCCGUAACUUCCUUGAUAAGAAGUUUGUUUUGAGGGCAUAGGAAUGGAGGAGAUAUAAAAAAAGUAAAAAGGAACAUAGGGAAAUGGGAACAGGAAUAAGGGAAAUGUAAAGGGGUCUCUAUCUUUCCAUUUUUACUGUUUUUAUAACUCUUUUUGAUGCAAAAUCAUAUCCAUUCACCGUUUUGGUUAGGCUAUCAUGUAUAUAUAUAUAUAUAUGUAUGUUAAUAUGCAUACAGUAGUAGGAGAAAAAUAAAUAAGGGGAAAAGAGCCUAUAUUAUUAUUUCUAUAAUAUAUAUAUAUACUCUCUUUCCAAUUAAUUAUUAAACCUAAUACUAUUGUUUGUGUAAGCUUAAUAUGCUGUUAUCAAGAACUGAAUCGGAACAAGGGGGAUUUUUUUAACAGGUUCUUUGAGGAAGAAAAAAAAGAAUCAUAUAUUUAUUUUGCAAAUUUGUUGUGUAUAUGUUCUAUAUCACUAUUGCAAAUGCAAUUUCUGACUAUUGCUUAGAAUGUCAAUUUGAAGAUACUUCUGAAAACAAUGUUUUAGUGUAGAUAUAUACAGAUAUUUAUGUAUUAGUUUAUAUAUAUACAGGAAUAUCUACACACAUUGGGCAUAUAAUAAAAUGGGUCAGGAUAAGAAAUUUUUAAAAUGGGGGAGAAAAAAGGAAAGGAAAAUUUUUCUUCCCCAAAAAAAAAAAAAUAAAAAUAAUAUAUGAAUUCCUUAAACCAGUUAAAGUGUUGUGUCAGUGUGUAUAUUUUAUUAAGAAAUAUAUAUUUUUGGCACGUAACAUUUUGAUUGGAGUAACCAUUAUCCCUGCACCACUUUAUAUAAAUAUACAUUACUAUCUAGUGAAACCACAUCCAAGGGAACAGGCUUGGAGUGUCAGUAAAGGAAAUAGAAGACUUAGUGUUAACUCGACUCUUAGUUUGGCACUGCACAGAACGACCCAAGAGGUGCAGCCAUAAGUGGAAGUAGAAGAAUUGAAAUUAUAUUAUAAGGAUAUACAUUUGUUUUUUUACGACAAGUGAAAUACCACUACUUUUGGUGUUGUUCCUGCUUAUCCAUUUGUAGAAAAGGGAAAAACAGGGAAAGUUGGGGAUAGAAAUAUACAUAUGUACACAUAUAUGUACACUUAUUUAUCACGUUCUGUAAUAUAUAAGGUUGAUAGGAAGGAAGAAUUUUUUUUUUUUUUAAAAUUUAAAUUUGGACUUAUCUCGCACAUGUAUACAUGUAUGUAUAUAUAUUACUCUCCCCCCACACUUAAUAUGGAUGGAGACAAUGCCAGCUGAAGAGUUUAAGCGAAGGCUAAAAGUGUGAUGAAAACUAAUCUGUUUAGGAGCACAUAGAACAGAUAUAAAAAGUUUCUUCAUUACAGAGAAAGCUCAAAGAGAACAGAAAUCUCUUGUUGACCUUAAGUGGGGAAAACGCUUAUAUAUCUUUACAUCUUCAUGUAGAUGUUUAGAUAUACUUAGCCAUACGCAUAAGUAAUCCCGCACAUAUAUAUUUAUGUGUAUAUAUUAUAUUUAUAGAUAUUUUGCACUAUAACAGAAUGGGCUCCUUUUUCUAUAGGUAGUAUGCAGAUAUACAAAAAAUGGGAUUGUAAAAAAAUAUAGAAGAGUUAGCACAGAAGAUAACUGUCUUGUGGCUGCCGAACGUGAUUUAGUAACGUAGCUUUGUGAUAAAUGUUUUAGACUCUUCCUAUCAUUGGGACGAAGAAGUCUCAAAGUGUCGGAUUGUUCACUCUGUUUAAAAGGGAACGUGAGUCAUAAUUUUUAGACCUUUGUGAAUGAGGUUAUAUAUUAUAAAUUCCUACUGAUGAUUUAUAAAAUUUAUGGUUGUUAAGAACCAUUUAUCGAAAUGUGACAGUAGACCAUAUUAGUACGAGAGGAACAUUUGGUCCAGACCACGGGUACAGCGAUUAGUUGAAAAACUUGUAAUUGCGAAGCCACAUUUGUCUGUUGGAUAAUGGCUGAAUGACUCUAAAGCCAGAACCCAUGCUGAUUAAUAUUUUGAUCUCGCUCUUUCUGAAAAAUUUUUUUACGAU
Molecule: ribosomal RNA, 6125 nt
Organism: Plasmodium gonderi
Lineage: Eukaryota; Apicomplexa; Aconoidasida; Haemosporida; Plasmodiidae
Source: RefSeq, a predicted model, not a curated record